This 442-nucleotide ribosomal RNA is filed under the name uncultured Alphaproteobacteria bacterium. RNAcentral's name for it is "bacterial SSU rRNA". It matches the Rfam family "Bacterial small subunit ribosomal RNA", at positions 29 to 505 of the family's 1533-position model. Lineage: Bacteria; Pseudomonadati; Pseudomonadota; Alphaproteobacteria. The record is from RNAcentral.
AACGAACGCUGGCGGCAGGCCUAACACAUGCAAGUCGAACGAGAACGGUUCUUCGGAACUUAGUAUAGUGGCGCACGGGUGAGUAACGCGUGGGAACCUACCUAGUAGUAUGGAACAACAGUUGGAAACGACUGCUAAUACCAUAUACGCCCUUCGGGGGAAAGAUUUAUCGCUAUUAGAUGGGCCCGCGUGACAUUAGCUAGUUGGUAAGGUAACGGCUUACCAAGGCGACGAUGUCUAGCUGGUCUGAGAGGAUGAUCAGCCACACUGGAACUGAGACACGGUCCAGACUCCUACGGGAGGCAGCAGUGGGGAAUAUUGGACAAUGGGCGAAAGCCUGAUCCAGCCAUGCCGCGUGUGUGAUGAAGGCCUUAGGGUUGUAAAGCACUUUCGCCGAUGAGGAUAAUGACGGUAGUCGGAUAAGAAGCCCCGGCUAACUUCG